RNAcentral lists this transfer RNA (64 nucleotides) under Margattea bisignata. Its description in RNAcentral is "tRNA-Arg". Lineage: Eukaryota; Metazoa; Arthropoda; Insecta; Blattodea; Pseudophyllodromiidae. The record is from RNAcentral.
UAAUGCGAAGCAAUUUGCUAUUAGUUUCGACCUAAUUUAUUGAUAUUUUUAAUAUCCGUAUUAU